Molecule: ribosomal RNA, 380 nt
Filed under: uncultured eukaryote
Lineage: Eukaryota
Description: partial 18S ribosomal RNA
Rfam family: Eukaryotic small subunit ribosomal RNA
Source: RNAcentral
CAAUAGCGUAUAUUAAAGUUGUUGCGGUUAAAAAGCUCGUAGUUGGAUUUCUGCUGAGAACGACCGGUCCGCCCUUUGGGUGUGUAUCUGGCUCUUUCUUGGCAUCUUCUUGGUGAACGUUGCUGCACUUGACUGUGUGGAGCGCUACCCAGGACUUUUACUUUGAGGAAAUUAGAGUGUUUCAAGCAGGCAUACGCCUUGAAUACAUUAGCAUGGAAUAAUAAGAUAGGACCUCGGUUCUAUUUUGUUGGUUUCUAGAGCUGAGGUAAUGAUUAAUAGGGAUAGUUGGGGGCAUUCGUAUUUAACUGUCAGAGGUGAAAUUCUUGGAUUUCUGGAAGACGAACUACUGCGAAAGCAUUUACCAAGGAUGUUUUCAUUAA